UAUAACUAAAAAAAACAAAGCAAACUUCCAUUUCUAUAAUUCCAGAAUUUUUAAAGAAACAUUUGGACACUUAAAAUUAAAAAAAAUCUAAAAAUACGUUGGAAUAUGUGACAAAUCAAAUUUCGGAAUUAACAGUGUUAGUAAAUAGACUGAGAUGUACAUUGUUGUGACAUUAGCAGGAAAUUGUACAGCAAGAGGUCAUUGUUUGCAAGUGUUUGUAUGAUGUGUACAAAAAUUUAAAAAAUUAGGCACUUUUUAGGUAUUUUGCAUCAAAAUUGAAUAGUCAAGUUUAAGCAAGGAAUAUUUUUUCCUUUCUGUAUGAUAAGUAUGAAUUUUUCUAAAUUAUUUGAAUGAUGAAUGAAAAAAAUAUCACUUAGGAUGAUAAUAUCCAGCCAUAGAACCUCAACUGUUUGCACAAAAACAAAAAUAAAAGGGAGGCCAAAAUUUAUUAAGUUUUAUCUAUGCAGUAUAGCUUGCUGCACCAGCCUCAAUUUUGGCUCUUAUAUACAGGGUGAUCUUAUCUUAUUGAGCCAAUACAAAACGCUAAAUAAAAAAAAAAAAAAAAAAAGAGGCAGCACUUCCACUGUCCAUCAAUCACUUACUUAGUAGAUAGUUGACAAUUGUUGGUAUCCAUAAUUUUUCAGGUGGAAGAUAUGUUGGUUACUGUGCAAAACAUCGUCAAUACUGACCAUGUUUGCUGGUAUAUAAAGGUGUGCUUCAUUUCUGGAAGGUCUUGGCAGUAGAGCUGCCAAGUUUGAAGAGUAUUUUUUAUAUGCCGAAUGUUUCUACGUCCUCCAUAACAUGAAACGAUGCCAAUAAAUUUUAUUGAAGAAACAUUUUAUGACUCUGUCUAAUACUUUUUAAUGUGAUUUUUUUCUUUAAUCGGAAAAAAAAUGCAAUUUAUUGUGUCGUACAUCUACAUCGAUAUAACCUUAUUUAUUUAUAAUAAAGAU
This 953-nucleotide long non-coding RNA is filed under the name Androctonus crassicauda. The record is from RNAcentral. Lineage: Eukaryota; Metazoa; Arthropoda; Arachnida; Scorpiones; Buthidae.